RNAcentral lists this ribosomal RNA (444 nucleotides) under uncultured Alteromonadaceae bacterium. Its description in RNAcentral is "bacterial SSU rRNA". It matches the Rfam family "Bacterial small subunit ribosomal RNA", at positions 338 to 774 of the family's 1533-position model. The record is from RNAcentral. Lineage: Bacteria; Pseudomonadati; Pseudomonadota; Gammaproteobacteria; Alteromonadales; Alteromonadaceae.
CCUACGGGAGGCAGCAGUGGGGAAUAUUGCACAAUGGGGGAAACCCUGAUGCAGCCAUGCAGCGUGUGUGAAGAAGGCCUUCGGGUUGUAAAGCACUUUCAGCGAGGAGGAAAGGGUGUAAGUUAAUACCUUACAUCUGUGACGUUACUCGCAGAAGAAGCACCGGCUAACUCCGUGCCAGCAGCCGCGGUAAUACGGAGGGUGCGAGCGUUAAUCGGAAUUACUGGGCGUAAAGCGUGCGCAGGCGGUUUGUUAAGCGAGAUGUGAAAGCCCCGGGCUCAACCUGGGAACCGCAUUUCGAACUGGCAAACUAGAGUCUUGUAGAGGGGGGUAGAAUUCCAGGUGUAGCGGUGAAAUGCGUAGAGAUCUGGAGGAAUACCGGUGGCGAAGGCGGCCCCCUGGACAAAGACUGACGCUCAGGCACGAAAGCGUGGGGAGCAAACA